RNAcentral lists this transfer RNA (109 nucleotides) under Culex quinquefasciatus (southern house mosquito). It matches the Rfam family "tRNA". Rfam says of the family: Transfer RNA (tRNA) molecules are approximately 80 nucleotides in length. Their secondary structure includes four short double-helical elements and three loops (D, anti-codon, and T loops). Lineage: Eukaryota; Metazoa; Arthropoda; Insecta; Diptera; Culicidae. The record is from Rfam by way of RNAcentral.
CCUUCGAUAGCUCAGUUGGUAGAGCGGUGGACUGUAGAUGUGCGUUUCCCUUCGGGGAACGAUUGCAAUAGUAAUCCAUAGGUCGCUGGUUCAAAUCCGGCUCGAAGGA